This 253-nucleotide unclassified non-coding RNA is filed under the name uncultured fungus. Its description in RNAcentral is "partial contains 5.8S ribosomal RNA, internal transcribed spacer 2, and large subunit ribosomal RNA". The record is from RNAcentral. Lineage: Eukaryota; Fungi.
AACGCACAUUGCGCCCCUCGGUAUUCCGUGGGGCACGCCUGUUCGAGCGUCAUUUACACCCUCAAGCGCAGCUUGGUGUUGGGCGUCUGUCCCGCUCUCCGUAGCGCGGACUCGCCUCAAAGUCAUUGGCGGCGGUCGUGCCGGCUCCUCGCGCAGCACAUUUGCGCUUCUCGGAGGCCCGGCGGAUCAGCAUCCAGCAAGCUACUUUUUAUGACUUGACCUCGGAUCAGGUGAGGAUACCCGCUGAACUUAA